This is a long non-coding RNA of Lynx canadensis (Canada lynx), 467 nucleotides long. RefSeq lists it as uncharacterized. Lineage: Eukaryota; Metazoa; Chordata; Mammalia; Carnivora; Felidae. The record is from RefSeq and is a predicted model, not a curated record. The transcript has 3 exons.
CCUGCGCCGCGACCCCGCCGCGCUGCCGUUGUUCCCAGGCGAUUGCUGUUUCGCGGCUCGGCGAUGCAGACCACGUAAAGGACAACGGAAAACGUCUCCCUGCUGGGGCCGGUUCUGUAACGUAUUGAGCGCUCACGUUCUGAAAAAAAACCUUUGGACCCUCUUCUACCUCCGCCGAGAAAGCCCAUCUGGAAGGCAACUCUAAACAGCUUCAAGUGUCACUUGGCUGACAUCACGGCCGACCCGAGAGAGGCAGGAAGAAGUUGUACUUCUACUGAAGAGAUCUUUUUCUUCUCACACAGGCCACGUCUUGAAAAUCAAAGGUCAGGUUCAUUUCUUUUGUUUUGCCUAAUCCAAGAAGUUGUAAAUUAUGCUGAAGCCAGUUAUCCUGCAGCAUCAAAUGGGUUCUGAAUCCAAGUACAAAGAUGACAUUUGGUGCGCUCUGGUACAUUUGUAAUUUUUUUUUU